Molecule: non-coding RNA, 31 nt
Filed under: Homo sapiens (human)
Lineage: Eukaryota; Metazoa; Chordata; Mammalia; Primates; Hominidae
Source: RNAcentral
GUCAGCAGUUUCACUGAUAUGCAGGACCUGA